AUCCAAUACCAAACAAGAUAUUAAAAAUAAGACAAAUAUAAGGAUAUAAUUAUUUUAGUAAAUUUGAUUGUAAAUCAGGAUUUUACCAUUUAAAGUUAGAAGAAGAAUCUAAGGAAUUAACCGCGUUUACGGUACAAAUCAAGAUUCAUCAUGGUGGAGAGGCAACAAAAAGGGACAAUUCAAGGUUAGCUGUGCUUAUAGCUGGAUGAAUCAAACUUCCCAAUGUGUAAGGGACUAGGAACUGGCCAUGGGAAGGCAUUUGGAAAAAAUAAAAUCACACUCAAAGUAACAUGUUUUGUUUGGUUGCUAGCCACGGAAGCAGUUCUCGCUCAAGAUAAUUUGAUGAAGAGAGGGAUAACACUAUGUCCAAGAUUUUUUUAUUUUUUUUUUUGUGUGGGGAAAACGCAGACACAGAAAUCUUAGGGGUAUAUCAUGGACUAUGCCAGGGGUCCUAGGUGGGGGUUUCCGGGAACCCAGCAACUUUCGUUCUUGUAUUUAUAUAGAGAAAUCUAGUUAAUGUAUAAGAAUUAUAAGUUGGGAACCCAUAAAUAAAGUGUAUUGUUGGUUUAGUGGAGUAGAUGGACUUGUAAAAGUUUUAUUGGCCUCUUGGUUGUGGGUUCAAAGCCCCUUAGUUACUAUUUGGUUUUAUUUUUAUCUAACAUGGGGAACCACAAACUUUAAAUUCUGAAUCUAGCUGGAAAGAUCAUGGAAACGCAAAGAACAGAGAUAGAUGGAGAAUUGUUUUGAGAGCAUAGAGAGUAGUAUGCAUAAGGAAGCUUAACUGCCGUUUGUUACCAUGGUUUUGGUGUAAUCAAGUAUACUCAAAUGAUACUAUCUCUAUAUUGAUGUUCUAGAUUCAAUUUAGGUGGGAGAUAGUAGGAUAUUGAAGUAAAUGACGUAAAUAUGUUUUUUCAGUGCAAACCAUGUACUGUCUUUUGAGAAAUAUACAAAGUUACUAGUUUCUAAAAAAAAAUGUUACGGUGAAAAGUAAUCGAAGACUAUCUUCCUCUUACUAAGAAUUCUACGUACUCCACUUCAAUCUUGAUGCGAAUAAAAAUAUGAUUCUCGUUUAAAGCAUAAGUUAGUUCUUUUUGGGUUUCUUGCACCUUGUCGUUUGUUCAUUUUUUCUUUUAAAAUUAGAACUUGAUUCGGUGUUCCCCAACUUUCAAUUUUUUCUUCAGUCUCCUUGAUUUCCUUAUUAAUUGCUCCCAGUUUCUUCUUAGUUUUGAGAUCACCUCAUUUCAUGCAUCUCAUCACUUUAUCCAUGACAUCUCUCAAGCCUCCAGGCACCUCCGGCUCUAUCUAGGAAUAUUAAAGAAGCAGUUCCUAUUGGAAAAGAGGGCAUCAAAUUUGAAGAAGGAAGCCAUUUGUGGUGUCAAACAUCAUUGGUCAGAUGCUCGCUGCUGAACGACGACCCACGUGAUAUUCUGCACCUGAUCAUAUAAUUUUUGUUCAAAGAACUCGCCAUCAUAUGAGAAUCAUCAUUGCGUUUUUCAUUUGGUAAAUUCUUUUAUGUUGGGCAAUCGGGUCAAGGGGGAAGGAGUAUGACGAGAACCAAAUCGAAACUUAUCGUGUAAAACUUUCCACUGAUAACACUAGACGAUUAGUGCCUAGUAUUAGCAUUACCAAUUAUUCUGGACUUUUGAGUACCUCAGGGUUACAGGGGGCUCUCUCAAUUUUUCAUUUUUAGUUUUGAUGAGAAAUUUUGAUUUUUUCUCAGAUUUAUGGUAGUGUAACAUCGUUGAUAAAGAAGCAGAUUAGAUUUUGCCCUUUUUUGGAAUAUUUCAGCACUUACCUUUAUAUGCAAAUAAAUUUGUAAGCAUUGUCAUACCAUUCUUUUGAGGUAGUGGUACGGGUUGUGCACACUCUAUCCCCAAGACCUCACUUUGUGGGGAAUGCAUUGGAUAUGUUUUGUUGUUGUCAA
Molecule: long non-coding RNA, 1924 nt
Organism: Capsicum annuum
Lineage: Eukaryota; Viridiplantae; Streptophyta; Magnoliopsida; Solanales; Solanaceae
Exons: 2
Source: RefSeq, a predicted model, not a curated record